Molecule: ribosomal RNA, 225 nt
Filed under: Klebsiella aerogenes
Lineage: Bacteria; Pseudomonadati; Pseudomonadota; Gammaproteobacteria; Enterobacterales; Enterobacteriaceae
Description: partial 23S ribosomal RNA
Rfam family: Bacterial large subunit ribosomal RNA
Source: RNAcentral
CGAUAGUGUGACGAAUCACACUAUCGUUAACUGAAUACAUAGGUUAACGAGGCGAACCGGGGGAACUGAAACAUCUAAGUACCCCGAGGAAAAGAAAUCAACCGAGAUUCCCCCAGUAGCGGCGAGCGAACGGGGAGCAGCCCAGAGUCUGAAUCAGCUUGUGUGUUAGUGGAACGGUCUGGAAAGUCCGACGGUACAGGGUGAUAGUCCCGUACACCAAAAUGC